AAAAUUUGAUUUGCUGCCAAGCUUGAAGGAAAACAAGGGAGACAGGAAAGAGCGCAGUUCCUGUCUCCCUUGUUUCCUUCAAGCUUGUGCAGCAAAUCAAUUUUUAGGUA
This 110-nucleotide microRNA precursor is filed under the name Rhipicephalus microplus (southern cattle tick). RNAcentral's name for it is "microRNA rmi-mir-5325 precursor". The record is from miRBase by way of RNAcentral. Lineage: Eukaryota; Metazoa; Arthropoda; Arachnida; Ixodida; Ixodidae.